CGAUGGACAUUGCAAAGAGUGGCGAACGGGUGAGUAACACGUGGGAAACCUACCUCUUAGCAGGGGAUAACAUUUGGAAACAGAUGCUAAUACCGUAUAACAAUGACAACCGCAUGGUUGUUAUUUAAAAGAUGGUUCUGCUAUCACUAAGAGAUGGUCCCGCGGUGCAUUAGCUAGUUGGUAAGGUAAUGGCUUACCAAGGCGAUGAUGCAUAGCCGAGUUGAGAGACUGAUCGGCCACAAUGGGACUGAGACACGGACCAUACUCCUACGGGAGGCAGCAGUAGGGAAUCUUCCACAAAGGGCGAAAGCCUGAUGGAGCAAACGCCGCAUGUGUGAUGAAGGGUUUCGGCUCGUAAAACACUGUUGUAAGAGAAGAAUGACAUUGAGAGUAACUGUUCAAUGUG
Molecule: ribosomal RNA, 406 nt
Filed under: uncultured bacterium
Lineage: Bacteria
Description: bacterial SSU rRNA
Rfam family: Bacterial small subunit ribosomal RNA
Source: RNAcentral